This 301-nucleotide ribosomal RNA is filed under the name uncultured bacterium. Its description in RNAcentral is "partial 16S ribosomal RNA". It matches the Rfam family "Bacterial small subunit ribosomal RNA", at positions 509 to 807 of the family's 1533-position model. The record is from RNAcentral.
CAGCAGCCGCGGUAAAACGGAGGGUGCAAGCGUUAUCCGGAUUUAUUGGGUUUAAAGGGUCCGUAGGCGGAUCUGUAAGUCAGUGGUGAAAUCUCACAGCUUAACUGUGAAACUGCCAUUGAUACUGCAGGUCUUGAGUAAAUUUGAAGUGGCUGGAAUAAGUAGUGUAGCGGUGAAAUGCAUAGAUAUUACUUAGAACACCAAUUGCGAAGGCAGGUCACUAAGAUUUAACUGACGCUGAUGGACGAAAGCGUGGGGAGCGAACAGGAUUAGAGACCCCAGUAGUCCCUGUCUCUUAUAC